GAGUUUGAUCCUGGCUCAGAUUGAACGCUGGCGGCAUGCCUUACACAUGCAAGUCGAACGGCAGCACGGGAGCUUGCUCCUGGUGGGCGAGUGGCGAACGGGUGAGUAAUGCAUCGGAACGUAUCCUGGAGUGGGGGAUAACGUAGCGAAAGUUACGCUAAUACCGCAUAUUCUGUGAGCAGGAAAGCGGGGGACCUUCGGGCCUCGCGCUCUUGGAGCGGCCGAUGUCGGAUUAGCUAGUUGGUGAGGUAAAGGCUCACCAAGGCGACGAUCCGUAGCAGGUCUGAGAGGAUGAUCUGCCACACUGGAACUGAGACACGGUCCAGACUCCUACGGAGGCAGCAGUGGGAAUUUUGGACAAUGGGGGCAACCCUGAUCCAGCCAUGCCGCGUGAGUGAAGAAGGCCUCGGUU
This 412-nucleotide ribosomal RNA is filed under the name bacterium enrichment culture clone ALO1_GLFRUDD03FKUMY. RNAcentral describes it as "bacterial SSU rRNA". It matches the Rfam family "Bacterial small subunit ribosomal RNA", at positions 9 to 424 of the family's 1533-position model. The record is from RNAcentral.